GCCAUCUCGGCGUCGUAUACUUUAUCCUGUUAAAAUUCUGACGGCCAGUGCACUGUCGCCAUGUUAUGAGCAAGUCUAUGCUAUCUACACAGCUGCUGUGUGUAUAUGAAGGUACUCAUAUCUUUGGAAAGCUAAGAUUCUUGUGAUUCGAUUGAUAUAUACCGUACUGAGGUACACUCACAACAGCAGCUACAAUCAGUGUCUCUGUCAGACCACCGACAUACAAACAAACAAUUACGAAACAGAGGGAACUCGCCUCAUAUGAAGCCUCAUAGUAAUCUACUGAUCCGUAACAUCCUGACAAAAACAGUCUUGUUACAGAAAAGGUCCAAACAAUCCAUCCAUGUUCUAUACUGCUUUAUCCUUUUCAGGGUCACGGGGGAACCUGGAGCCUAUCCCAGGGAGCAUCGGGCACAAGGCGGGGUACACCAUGGACAGGGUGCCAAUCCAUCGCAGAGCACACUCACACACCCGUUCAUACACGGCGGACACUUUGGACACGCCAAUCAGUCUACCAUGCAGGUCUUUUGGACUGGGGGAGGAAACCGGAGUACCCGGAGGAAACCCCCGCAGCACGGGGAGAACAUGCAAACUCCACACACACAGCACUAUGGUGGGAAUCGAACCCCCGGCCCUGGAGGUGUGACGCGAACAUGCUAACCACUAAGCCACCGUGCGCCCAGGUUACUCUGUCUGAUGGGGACUGAGGUCAUGAUUUGUAUAAAAGGUAACGUUGAUAUAAAGAGUACAUUGAAGAAAUUCACAGUCCUUGACUCUGGGUAUUCUGCUAAAGCUAGCGGCAUCACAUUACAUGCGUUUGACGUCAUGCGCCAUCGACUGGGAAACGGCUUAUACUUGCGGUUAGUAAAAUAAUCAGUAGUGUUCCAUUAGUAAUGUUAGUACCAUUCUAAAAUUCAUACACUAGACCGCAUAGUACACAGUGCAUAGUGUAAGUGCAUAGUGCGUCAUUUGGGACACAACUUUGUUAAUUACUCUCCGAAGCGUGUUUUCGGAACAAAAGUAACACAAUAAGUAAACGCAUCCCGUGCCGCAUGUAGACCAACUAAUCGAUAAUGAUAUUGCUUGACAAUGAUUUUCAUAAUAGAUUAUUAUCGAUUAGUUGUUGCAGCUCUACGUAAAACAAAACUCCUAACCAUUAACCCCUGUUUGAGCAUCUGCCCUGCUUCAACGGAGUGCAAAACUUUGCACCCCCCCCCCACCCCCCACCCCAUGGUUUUUGAAUGGGGAAAAAAGGAAAAUAUAUCCCUUUUUUCCCCCGACAAUUUAUCUACAAUUUGAAUUCAUUAAAAUGAAAAUUAUCCUUCAAGAAGACAACAACUGUCAUGUUUAAUUCCACUACUGAGCCAGCAGCUACCACUCCUGAUCCCAAUCUGGUCGACUCUCGACUAUUACGGCUAACACACCUGUUUGUAGUUUCAUUUCAGUCACUCCAGGUAUUUAUACCGCAUUCUAACUUCUUUGUUUAUCUGUUAGGUUCAUAUUUUCCUCACCUGCUUCUUUUAUUCUCUCUUGAAGAAUGAGGUUUUAAAUUGGUCUCAAAAUACUAAAAAAUAUAAUGUCUAUAUAAACAUAACAGACUUUCUCCCCAUACAAGAUGUUUUCAAAUCCAGUUAAAUCAGUUGUGGUAUAAGUCAGGGGUUCGCAAACUUUUCCAGGGCAAGGCCCCCCAAACGGCAUUAACAUUUGACCGAGGCCCCCCUUUUGCAAGAUGACUUUAAAACACAUUCAAAAUACGGACUUCUGAAUAUAUCCCCCUUUUUUACAUUGAUGUUUUGUCUGUUUAGCAAUUAGAAACUUAGGUAUAGCAAAUGUGAUUUUGAUAUGUAUUGUUACAAAUAACAUGUUCUAGAAAUGCAUAUAUAUAAGAAAUCAUGUAUUUAUUUUUCACACCAAAUUGUUGAGGCCCCCCAGGCGCCCCCUGGGGGCCGCAGCCCCCACUUUGAAAACCACUGAUAUAAGGAGAAUAAAACACUUGGGGGUGUGGUGUAUUA
This is a long non-coding RNA of Ictalurus punctatus (channel catfish), 2012 nucleotides long. NCBI's taxonomy places the organism in Eukaryota, Metazoa, Chordata, Actinopteri, Siluriformes, Ictaluridae. The record is from Ensembl.